UCCAAGGCCAGAUCUGGCUGAGACCCCUGCCUCCCAGACCAGGGUGCUGUCUUGCCUUUUGGGCUCUUGGGCUCUCUAUGGCCUCUUCCCAGGCCAGGCCUGAGGCUGUGGAGUCAGGCAGACCGCCCAUCAGCUGUGUGGCCUGGGUGAGGCCCAGCCGGCCUGCACUCCCAGGGACGCGGGCUGAGCAAGGCAAGCAGAGCAUGGCUCUGGGUUCCGUCCAAGCGGCCCAGCACCCUUCCCUCAUGCAAAGUCACUGAUGAACAUGCUGAGCCCACCCCAAAGGACAUCUGAUCGUUCCAAAGGUCCACCCGCCCACUCAGCCCUCCAGUGGACGUGACCUCAGACACAGUUUGCACCUCCCUCCCCUUACCUUAGUCCCAAUUCCACGUGCAAGGGCCAAGGACUGACUGCAACACCUGACUGAGCAGGACCCUUUUCUGUGAAGACCACUGCUGAGCUACUGGUGAAAGCAACUGGGGCAGGAGGAUCAGUUGGUGACAAUGUACCACCCAUAAUUCCCUGUUUCUGAAGUUGUGCCAUGUUUCUAAAGAGACCGUCCUUGUUUAUACAAUACUAUAAGCAUGAGGGGUGAUGGAGUCAAAUCAGCCAUGCACUCCCAAAGGGUUCAGAACAAGUGGUGUACUGCUUUGAACUUUUUUGUGCGUUUGUGAUUGUUUCAAAAAAAUUUUAAAGAAUGUUUUCAUUGCAUUACAAGGUAACCAGAAAGCCCCACUUCCACCCUUUCUCAAAUAAAGCUUAAAGAUGUCCAGAACCCGAGACAAACCCAAAUCGCAUGCACUCCUCUCAUGGAGAGCAUCCUCUAACACUGUGUUGCAAAUGGCAGGCUGCUUCUUGGAAACACACUGCCAUUCCUUAUGCCCAUGAAAGCAGAAUUCCUGGUGCCCACAAGCUACUUUGUAAAAGAGACAGACAGACAGUGGGCUGUAUUUCAAGGGCAGAUGACCUCUGGGGUCAGUAGGCUGCUUGAGGCUAUUUGGUCUCUAGUUGGGAGAGGUAACCCCAGUGCCUACAGGGCCCAGGCAGGGGCCCCCUGAUGGAGAGGACGUAGGUGGGUAGAGGCUCACAGAAACCAGCACAACCAGAUCUCUUGAGCUAUUCCAGAGAAGCUGACACUCAGAUUCUACAUGAGUGUCCAAGUUUUUAAUAUUGGCAACUAAUUUUAAAAUGUUAACACCACUGCAUGGCCUACAGACCACAGGUAGCCCACGGUCCUUGCAAGGGAGGAUGCAGACAUUUGGUUCAGACUUUCCUUACUCUAUGAAGCCUGCUGCUCACUUUUUUCUUUGAGUAUGGAAGAUGCAGGGUCAUACCCUUAUCCUCAAAAGUCUCAUC
Long non-coding RNA from Manis javanica (Malayan pangolin), 1356 nucleotides. RefSeq lists it as uncharacterized. Lineage: Eukaryota; Metazoa; Chordata; Mammalia; Pholidota; Manidae. The record is from RefSeq and is a predicted model, not a curated record.